AUGGGGUUGUGGCUCAAUGGUAGAGAGCUUGCCUAGCAUGUAUGAGGCACUGGGUUUGAUUUCCAGUAUCACAUA
Molecule: transfer RNA, 75 nt
Filed under: Marmota monax (woodchuck)
Lineage: Eukaryota; Metazoa; Chordata; Mammalia; Rodentia; Sciuridae
Description: tRNA.Ala
Source: RNAcentral